UAAGAAAACAUUUUAAAUGUGUAUAGUUUCGACCUAUAAAAAGAUAAAUAAAUAUUAUCUCUUAU
RNAcentral lists this transfer RNA (65 nucleotides) under Psephenothrips eriobotryae. Its description in RNAcentral is "tRNA-Arg". The record is from RNAcentral. Lineage: Eukaryota; Metazoa; Arthropoda; Insecta; Thysanoptera; Phlaeothripidae.